This 253-nucleotide ribosomal RNA is filed under the name uncultured bacterium. RNAcentral's name for it is "partial 16S ribosomal RNA". It matches the Rfam family "Bacterial small subunit ribosomal RNA", at positions 524 to 776 of the family's 1533-position model. The record is from RNAcentral.
UACGGAGGGGGCUAGCGUUGUUCGGAAUUACUGGGCGUAAAGCGCACGUAGGCGGACCGGAAAGUCAGAGGUGAAAUCCCAGGGCUCAACCCUGGAACUGCCUUUGAAACUCCCGGUCUUGAGUUCGAGAGAGGUGAGUGGAAUUCCGAGUGUAGAGGUGAAAUUCGUAGAUAUUCGGAAGAACACCAGUGGCGAAGGCGGCUCACUGGCUCGGUACUGACGCUGAGGUGCGAAAGCGUGGGGAGCAAACAGG